ACUGCGCCUGGGAGCUUGUGUCCGAUUCCGGGAGGUAGCCGUGUCCGAGUGCGUGGUUGUACAUUUCCGAAGGUCUCAGUUUCUCUCACUUUCAGCCCGCGAGUUCCUUCGCUUCUCCUUUAGCAGGGUUAUCAAUGCUGGGAAGAGCACACACAAUGAAGACCAAGCCAGCUGUGAGGUGCUUACUGUGAAGAAGAAGGCAGGGGCCAUGACCUCCACCCCAAACAGGAACUCAUCCAAGAGACGGUCCUCCCUUCCCAAUGGGGAGGGGCUGCAGCUGAAGGAGAAUUCGGAAUCCGAGGGUGUUUCCUGCCACUAUUGGUCGCUGUUUGACGGGCACGCGGGCUCCGGGGCCGCGGUGGUGGCGUCACGCCUGCUGCAGCACCACAUCACGGAGCAGCUGCAGGACAUCGUGGACAUCCUGAAGAACUCCGCCGUCCUGCCCCCCACCUGCCUGGGGGAGGAGCCUGAGAACACGCCUGCCAACAGCCGGACUCUGACCCGGGCAGCCUCCCUGCGCGG
Molecule: small RNA, 522 nt
Filed under: Pongo abelii (Sumatran orangutan)
Lineage: Eukaryota; Metazoa; Chordata; Mammalia; Primates; Hominidae
Description: processed transcript
Source: RNAcentral